This 412-nucleotide ribosomal RNA is filed under the name Stellarima microtrias. RNAcentral's name for it is "SSU rRNA". It matches the Rfam family "Eukaryotic small subunit ribosomal RNA", at positions 593 to 1006 of the family's 1831-position model. Lineage: Eukaryota; Bacillariophyta; Coscinodiscophyceae; Coscinodiscales; Coscinodiscaceae. The record is from RNAcentral.
AAUAGCGUAUAUUAAAUUUGUUGCAGUUAAAAAGCUCGUAGUUUGAAUUCUGGCCGGAGCGGUUGGUGCGACUCUCUGAGUUGUUACUUGCAUCGUCUCUGGCCAUCCUUGGGGAGAACCUGUCUGGCAUUAGGUUGUCGGGCAGGGGGUACUCAUCGUUUACUGUGAAAAAAUUAGAGUGUUCAAAGCAGGCUUACGCCGUUGAAUAUACUAGCAUGGAAUAAUAAUAUAGGACCCUUGUACUAUUUUGUUGGUUUGUGCACGAGGGUAAUGAUUAACAGGGACAAUUGGGGAUAUUUGUAUUUCAGUGGAAGAGGUGAAAUUCUUGGAUUUCUGAAAGACAAACAACUGCGAAAGCAUUUAUCAAGGAUGUUUUCAUUAAUCAAGAACGAAAGUUAGGGGAUCGAAGAUG